CUUAGCUGCCGGCCCCUCCAGAAGUCUCUGCACGGGGAUGAUCAGCUGACCCAGAAACCGCUUGAUGAUUGGUCGGCUUUUGGCGAACUUGUCCUUUACUUCAAUCUCCAACACGUCAGUCAUCAGAGCCACAAAGCAAUGACAGUCCUUCACUCUGGGGGUUCCAUUGUAAAACUGCUUGGAUAUUUACCAAUAGACCUCUCCGUGCCACACAGGGUUGAUGGUGUUAGCUAUGAUGGAGGAUCGUCUCUCCUGGCCGUGGUGGCUGAACUUGGGGAGGCCGCUCCUCUUCCCAGGCUGGAUGGACAUCUUCAGGCAACCCAACACAUAUUCCUGAUGGCAGCAGCUCACAGGAGACAUGUCCUGGGUCACAGCAGGGCCUCCUGGGACUGCACAAGAAGUCAUUCAUCGUGUCAGAUAAACUGAGCUCAAUUUCAACCAGCUGAUCUUCUAAGCUAAAGGAGCCACAAAGAAGGAGAACAAAGGAGCAACCAGCCUCGCUGCCUGUAUCCAUCCAUGAAGCUGUGGCACACUUCUUUGGCGUCGCUGGAGAAGGCACUUCAGUGUUCCCAGGCUUCACUCGUCAUCAUUCAGGCAGACGGUGGAGGGGGUGAUGACAGAGCGAUCCGACAAUCCACAGGGAGGACAGGGGUGGAGGAAGUUGGAGACCUAUAACAGAGAGAGAAAGACGGAGGAGGAGAAAAUAAAGCAUUACCACAAGGAUUCAAUCUGCAGCUGGAGCCCUGGCUGCCAGCUCACUCUGCAGCCAUGUUUCCAUCCAGCUGUCCAACAGAAUUCAACUCAAGAGAUUUCUGCGUGAAUAAAACACAGAUUAGGUGUUUCCAUCAGCUGGGUUAAAGAUGGGCUUCACUACAGGGCCUUACAGAGGUUCCCAACUUCAUCAUAAGCCUGGAAUGACUUCACACCAAGCUGUCAUGGUUGUGGUUGUGGAUUACAGGUAAUUAUCGCUGUUGUUCCUGCUGUUCCUGUUAACCCACACAAACACACAGGGGCCCCUUGCCUUUUGUGCAGCUGACGAGUCUUGUGACAGUGUGUCACUGUCGUACAU
Long non-coding RNA from Lates calcarifer (barramundi perch), 1069 nucleotides. RefSeq lists it as uncharacterized. NCBI's taxonomy places the organism in Eukaryota, Metazoa, Chordata, Actinopteri, Centropomidae. The record is from RefSeq and is a predicted model, not a curated record. The transcript is spliced from 10 exons.